RNAcentral lists this ribosomal RNA (1183 nucleotides) under metagenome. RNAcentral's name for it is "bacterial SSU rRNA". It matches the Rfam family "Bacterial small subunit ribosomal RNA", at positions 8 to 1162 of the family's 1533-position model. The record is from RNAcentral.
AGAGUUUGAUCAUGGCUCAGGACGAACGCUGGCGGCGUGCUUAACACAUGCAAGUCGAACGAGACGAUUGAAAGCUUGCUUUUGAAAGUCGAGUGGCAAACGGGUGAGUAACGCGUAGACAACCUGCCGUAAAGAUGGGGACAACAGUCCGAAAGGACUGCUAAUACCGAAUGUUGUAAAUCUUCCGCAUGGAAGACUUACUAAAGGUGGCCUCUACUUGUAAGCUAUCGCUUUACGAUGGGUCUGCGUCUGAUUAGCUGGUUGGUGGGGUAACGGCCUACCAAGGCGACGAUCAGUAGCCGGUCUGAGAGGAUGAACGGCCACAUUGGAACUGAGACACGGUCCAGACUCCUACGGGAGGCAGCAGUGGGGAAUCUUCCGCAAUGGGCGCAAGCCUGACGGAGCAACGCCGCGUGAGUGAAGAAGGGUUUCGACUCGUAAAGCUCUGUUGUCGGGGACGAACGUGGAGACGGCAAAUAGUCGUUUCCAAUGACGGUACCUGACGAGGAAGCCACGGCUAACUACGUGCCAGCAGCCGCGGUAAUACGUAGGUGGCGAGCGUUGUCCGGAAUUAUUGGGCGUAAAGGGAGCGCAGGCGGGAAGGUAAGUCUAUCUUAAAAGUGCGGGGCUCAACCCCGUGAGGGGAUGGAAACUAUCUUUCUUGAGUGCAGGAGAGGAAAGCGGAAUUCCUAGUGUAGCGGUGAAAUGCGUAGAUAUUAGGAGGAACACCAGUGGCGAAGGCGGCUUUCUGGACUGUAACUGACGCUGAGGCUCGAAAGCGUGGGGAGCGAACAGGAUUAGAUACCCUGGUAGUCCACGCCGUAAACGAUGAAUGCUAGGUGUAGGAGGUAUCGACCCCUUCUGUGCCGGAGUUAACGCAAUAAGCAUUCCGCCUGGGGAGUACGGCCGCAAGGCUGAAACUCAAAGGAAUUGACGGGGGCCCGCACAAGCGGUGGAGUAUGUGGUUUAAUUCGACGCAACGCGAAGAACCUUACCAGGGCUUGACAUUGAGUGAAAGGACAAGAGAUUGUCCCCUCUCUUCGGAGACACGAAAACAGGUGGUGCAUGGCUGUCGUCAGCUCGUGUCGUGAGAUGUUGGGUUAAGUCCCGCAACGAGCGCAACCCUUAUCCUUUGUUGCCAGCACGUUAUGGUGGGAACUCAAAGGAGACUGCCGCGGACAAC